Molecule: long non-coding RNA, 479 nt
Organism: Eleginops maclovinus (Patagonian blennie)
Lineage: Eukaryota; Metazoa; Chordata; Actinopteri; Perciformes; Eleginopidae
Exons: 4
Source: RefSeq, a predicted model, not a curated record
UCUCGCCGAUUCCGUCUCACCGCCAUUUUAACGAGUUCAAGUUCUUGAGAAGGAAACCCAAGAACCUAUGCUAUGGCUUUUCUAUUCCGUGGCUCGUGUCGGUUGGUAUUGCGGCUGAUAAAACAUAUAUACAAAUCUGUUGAAAGAGAGGCCAAGGCGAUAGGCCCAGAGAUGAAGGAAGUCGGCACCGACGACGCUGGAACGUCCACGUGUCCAGAUGAUCCCCCACCCCCUUCACCUCUAGAGGCCAAGGCGAAAGGCCCAGAGAUGAAGGACGUCGGCACCGACGACGCUGGAACGUCCACGUGUCCGGUUGAACCCCCACCCCCUUCACCUCUAGAGGUCAAGGUGAAGGCAAGUUUCGAGAGAACGUCACUCGUCACUUCAACAGUUCAACAAAGCAGAUUGACAACUACUAAGUUCAACUUUUCUGUGCUUUUUCGGGAAUCAAAGGCCGAGAGAGGUACAAAGGAUUGAAC